UUUGAGUAACAUUUUUAAAUAAAUAAUUAAUAAAUUGUGAAUUUAUAUAAAAUUUUAUU
RNAcentral lists this transfer RNA (59 nucleotides) under Romanomermis iyengari. Its description in RNAcentral is "tRNA-His". The record is from RNAcentral. Lineage: Eukaryota; Metazoa; Nematoda; Enoplea; Mermithida; Mermithidae.